Molecule: ribosomal RNA, 465 nt
Filed under: uncultured bacterium
Lineage: Bacteria
Description: partial 16S ribosomal RNA
Rfam family: Bacterial small subunit ribosomal RNA
Source: RNAcentral
CCUACGGGAGGCAGCAGUGGGGAAUAUUGCGCAAUGGGCGAAAGCCUGACGCAGCGACGCCGCGUGAGGGAUGAAGGUCUUCGGAUCGUAAACCUCUGUCAGCAGGGAAGAAAGGUCACUGUGCUAAUCAGCAGUGAAUUGACGGUACCUGCAAAGGAAGCACCGGCUAACUCCGUGCCAGCAGCCGCGGUAAUACGGAGGGUGCGAGCGUUAAUCGGAAUUACUGGGCGUAAAGCGCUCGUAUGAGGUAUGUCAAGUCAAGGGGGAAAUCCCCGCGCUCAACGUGGGAACUGCCUUUGAAACUGGCAAACUGGAGUGUGUGAGAGGAUAGUGGAAUUCCAGGUGUAGGAGUGAAAUCCGUAGAGAUCUGGAGGAACAUCAGUGGCGAAGGCGACUAUCUGGCACAUAACUGACGCUGAGGAGCGAAAGCGUGGGGAGCAAACAGGAUUAGAUACCCCUGUAGUC